GCGGCCAGGUGGUGGUGGGCAGUGACCGGCGCCACAGUGACAAGCCUACACGAACAUAGUGACAAUAGCCAUGAUAACAACGAAAAGAACAGCGUGUGUGUAGCCUCGGUAAACACGGACACAAGAUGGGUUAGGAUGUGUGUGUGUGUGGCUGGGGGUGAGUGGGUACCUACUGCUGGUGACGGCAGCAGCCAUGACCAGCCGCAGUCUUCACCAGCAGCAAACGAAUGCCCUGGUUAGCGCACCGUGGCGGCGAUCCAGGAGCCUCGUGCUACUUGUGGUGGCGGUGGCGUGGCUGACUGGCUGGCUGUGGCGGGCCUGCACGUGCUAUCAUAUGGGUUGCGUGGUAGGUGCGUUCACUGGUCUGGACCAGGGUUAAAAAGAGACCCUGGUCUGGGCUGUGUUGGUGCGUGUUCUGAAGAGAUAACAUAACAUAACAUAAAUAAUUGGAUAACAAAGGGCCACCAGGGACCAUUUAUAGUCCGACACAAAUAUGAAGGCCGCUGAGGGGGGAGACCUAUCGGGGAUUCCCCGGUUGCAGCUACGCCAAACGUCGCAGCCCCAAUUAUAGGA
RNAcentral lists this long non-coding RNA (573 nucleotides) under Portunus trituberculatus (swimming crab). RNAcentral describes it as "uncharacterized LOC123513436, transcript variant X2". The record is from RNAcentral. Lineage: Eukaryota; Metazoa; Arthropoda; Malacostraca; Decapoda; Portunidae.